UUGCGUGUUUGUCUCUGGCAUUUCUGCUAUUUGUUUAUAAACAUAAAUCGUAAGGGGAUAAUCAGAGGAAGUAAAAAAAAAAAAAGAAUUAUUGUUGAGACUUUCCUUUGGAUCUCUGCCGCCGUGGAAAGGCAAAUGAUUGGUAUCACAAUAAGACGUGUCGACUGAGGAUGCCGCUCAUCAAGUGAAUCAGCAGCAAAUAGUAGCGGGCUAAUAAGUGCUAUUAUUCCGUCGCCGUGACGGUUAUACGCACGUGAUACUAGGUACGUAAAUACGGAAGAGGAGAGGAAGAAAUGAGAAGGAGAUACUGUUACGUCGAUACGGACGAAAGAGAGAGAAAGUUACUGUUAGGCGCUGAACUCCCUCGUCCAGCCGCCGAUGACCAAGCAUAUUCGCGCCCAAGUCUAGACUCGGGCAGACCGCUGGUCAUGCAACAGUCCAGGUUGCCCUGAACCAUGGUUGAAUGGCUAUCGACGCACAUUGCCAGCUUUGACUGUCCAGUUUCGCUGCGCGGCAUUUGGACUUUUCACCACGGAAAUCAAACGUUCGAUAUACGACAAGAUUCAUAUAAAUGUCAUAUCGUGAUGUUGGUGUGAGGUGUUACAGGUUUGAUGCAAUCCUAUACAAGAAUAUGUAAGUACCAACUACCAUAUUAUUCCGAGUACAUAAAUGUUAAAUGAUGUUAGAAUCUUUUUUGUAUAUGGAAAAUAAAAGAAAAUUUGCUAUGA
Molecule: long non-coding RNA, 728 nt
Filed under: Acromyrmex echinatior (Panamanian leafcutter ant)
Lineage: Eukaryota; Metazoa; Arthropoda; Insecta; Hymenoptera; Formicidae
Description: uncharacterized LOC105147192, transcript variant X1
Source: RNAcentral